GCAUUGGUGGCUCAAUGGUAGCAUUCCUGCCUCCCAUACAGGAGACCUGCGUUCAAUUCCCAGCCAAUGCA
Molecule: transfer RNA, 71 nt
Organism: Alligator mississippiensis (American alligator)
Lineage: Eukaryota; Metazoa; Chordata; Crocodylia; Alligatoridae
Rfam family: tRNA
About the family: Transfer RNA (tRNA) molecules are approximately 80 nucleotides in length. Their secondary structure includes four short double-helical elements and three loops (D, anti-codon, and T loops). Further hydrogen bonds mediate the characteristic L-shaped molecular structure. tRNAs have two regions of fundamental functional importance: the anti-codon, which is responsible for specific mRNA codon recognition, and the 3' end, to which the tRNAs corresponding amino acid is attached (by aminoacyl-tRNA synthetases). tRNAs cope with the degeneracy of the genetic code in two manners: having more than one tRNA (with a specific anti-codon) for a particular amino acid; and 'wobble' base-pairing, i.e. permitting non-standard base-pairing at the 3rd anti-codon position.
Source: Rfam